This 209-nucleotide long non-coding RNA is filed under the name Manihot esculenta (cassava). RNAcentral's name for it is "long non-coding RNA (MESC_LNC003983)". The record is from RNAcentral. Lineage: Eukaryota; Viridiplantae; Streptophyta; Magnoliopsida; Malpighiales; Euphorbiaceae.
CUGCCAGGGCGUAGUCAAAGGCUCCUGGACUUCCUGUCUGUGACUACGGGAUCAUUCAGCAUUUACCCACAUCAACAAAUAACAAUGCAAUGCAACAUAUUCGUGGUUACUAAUGCACUCAACCUAUGGCAUAAUCAUGAUGCAUGAGAUAUGCUAAAACAUUCCAUUCGUCAAUGAAAAGCAUUAAGUUUAGUUCCACUCACCUCUGG